RNAcentral lists this ribosomal RNA (253 nucleotides) under uncultured bacterium. RNAcentral's name for it is "partial 16S ribosomal RNA". It matches the Rfam family "Bacterial small subunit ribosomal RNA", at positions 524 to 776 of the family's 1533-position model. The record is from RNAcentral.
UACGAAGGGGGCUAGCGUUGCUCGGAAUCACUGGGCGUAAAGGGUGCGUAGGCGGGUCUUUAAGUCAGGGGGGAAGUCCUGGAGCUCAACUCCAGAACUGCCUUUGAUACUGAAGAUCUUGAGUUCGGGAGAGGUGAGUGGAACUGCGAGUGCAGAGGUGAAAUUCGUAGAUAUUCGCAAGAACACCAGUGGCGAAGGCGGCUCACUGGCCCGAUACUGACGCUGAGGCACGAAAGCGUGGGGAGCAAACAGG